Molecule: ribosomal RNA, 497 nt
Filed under: uncultured bacterium
Lineage: Bacteria
Description: partial 16S ribosomal RNA
Rfam family: Bacterial small subunit ribosomal RNA
Source: RNAcentral
GAUGAACGCUGGCGGCGUGCCUAAUACAUGCAAGUCGAGCGAACGGACGAGAAGCUUGCUUCUCUGAUGUUAGCGGCGGACGGGUGAGUAACACGUGGAUAACCUACCUAUAAGACUGGGAUAACUUCGGGAAACCGUAGCUAAUACCGGAUAAUAUUUUGAACCGCAUGGUUCAAAAGUGAAAGACGGUCUUGCUGUCACUUAUAGAUGGAUCCGCGCUGCAUUAGCUAGUUGGUAAGGUAACGGCUUACCAAGGCAACGAUGCAUAGCCGACCUGAGAGGGUGAUCGGCCACACUGGAACUGAGACACGGUCCAGACUCCUACGGGAGGCAGCAGUAGGGAAUCUUCCGCAAUGGGCGGAGGCCUGACGGAGCAACGCCGCGUGAGUGAUGAAGGUCUUCGGAUCGUAAAACUCUGUUAUUAGGGAAGAACAUAUGUGUAAGUAACUGUGCACAUCUUGACGGUACCUAAUCAGAAAGCCACGGCUAACUACGUG